GUGGGGAAUAUUGGACAAUGGGGGGAACCCUGAUCCAGCCAUGCCGCGUGUGUGAAGAAGGCCUUUUGGUUGUAAAGCACUUUAAGCGAGGAGGAGGCUACCGAGAUAAAUACUCUUGGAUAGUGGACGUUACUCGCAGAAUAAGCAACGGCUAACUCUGUGCCAGCAGCCGCGGUAAUACAGAGGGUGCAAGCGUUAAUCGGAUUUACUGGGCGUAAAGCGCGCGUAGGUGGCCAAUUAAGUCAAAUGUGAAAUCCCCGAGGUUAACUUGGGAAUUGCAUUCGAGACUGGUUGACUAGAGUAUGGGAGAGAAUGGUAGAAUUCCAGGUGUAGCGGUGAAAUGCGUAGAGAUCUGGAGGAAUACCGAUGGCGAAGGCAGCCAUCUGGCCUAAUACUGACACUGAGGUGCGAAAGCAUGGAGAGCAAACAGGAUUAGAAACCCGUGUAGUCC
This 451-nucleotide ribosomal RNA is filed under the name uncultured bacterium. Its description in RNAcentral is "partial 16S ribosomal RNA". It matches the Rfam family "Bacterial small subunit ribosomal RNA", at positions 354 to 796 of the family's 1533-position model. The record is from RNAcentral.